UUGGUUAAUUGGUUGCUUGAGUGAUUAGAAGUGGGCUUGAAUGGUUGGUUGCUCGAUUGGUUAGCUAAUUUGGUUGCUUGGUUAGUUGAUUAUCCCAAGUAACCAUGAAGCUAUAUAUGCUUGUAAAAAACACAGCCCUAAAAGUUGACUUUAAGUGGAAAAAGGCAAUAAGACCGAAAUAAUGGUUCAUUACUUUGACAUGUUGAAAUAAAGCAUCAGUAAUGCAUCGCUGCAUUCGUAACGCUGAUUUAGAGUAUCGUUGUCCGACAGUUGAUAAAUAAAUGCAACUUCACAUCGUUAAAACUGAUCAAAUGCAAUUAGCAUUUAGCGUGCUGACUUGUGAUUUAUAUAUGUGCAAUAUUGUAAUGCUUGGUGUUACUUGGCAUAGUAGUUUUAUUGAUUGGUGAAUUGUGAAUGCUGAAUUCAUUGGUUGCUUGAUUGGUUAAUUAGUUGGUUGAUUUAUUGAUUGCUUGGUUGAUUGGUAGCUAGCUUGAAAGGUUGGUUGCUUGAUUGGUAGGUUAAAAGAUUGAUUAGUUACUUUAUUGGUUGAUUGGUUUUGUUGUUCGUUGCUUGGAAGGUUGAUUGGGUAGCUUGAUUGAUUGCUUGAUAGGAAUCCUCGAGGGAUGCAUACGGGAGUGUUUAGCGAUGCUGACAGGAAUUCACCAGCGAUGCCCUCAAGAAUCUGCCAGCAUUGCGCGCACGAUGCCCAUAGAAAUACACCAAUGAAGUCCACAGCAGUCCGCCAGCGAUGCCCACAGGAUUCCGCCCACGAUGCUCACAAGGAUCUGCCAGCGAUGCCCGCAGGAUGCUAACAGGAAUUCACUAACGACUAACGAUGCCCUCAGAAAUUCGCCCGCGAUGCCCACAAGAAUCCAUUAGCGCUGUGAACAUGUGUCCGCCAUCAAUGCCUACAAGAAUCUGCCAGCGAUGCCCGCAGGAUGCUGAUAGAUAUUCACCAACGAUGCCUACAUGAAUUCGCCAACGCUGUGAAUAAGAAUCCACCAGCAAUGCAAACAGGAGUCCGCCAGCGAUGCCCACGAAAAUCCGCCUGUGAUGCCCACAGGAAUCCGCGAGGAAUCUACCAACGAUGCCCACAGGUAUUGGUAUGGCAGCGGUUCUCAACCUGGGGUACAUGUACCCCUGGGGGUACCUUCGUUGGCCCCAGGGGGUACCUCGGACAAGAAUGCGUAAUGGCGGCUGUAUUACAAUUCCAAUCAAAUCUUAUUGAUGAAGUUUUGAUAAUUGUAUAUUUUUUUUAUUUCAAAACUAUGUUUUGUACAUAAUAUGCAUGACGAUUAGUAAAACAAUGAAUUUCUAUGCAACAUAUCUAUUCAAGAUGUUCGGAAGCCUCUUUUCAAGUGGCUAGAAAGUCGCCUUUCAAGAGGUUCGGAAGUUUCCCUUCAAAAUGCUCGGAAGCCUCCCUUCAAGAGGCUCGGAAGCCUCCUUUCAAGUGGCUCGAUAGGCUCAUUUCAGGAGGCUUGGGAGGCUGCUGUCAAGCGAGUCGAGAGGCUGCUUUCAAGAGGCUUGGAAGCUUCCUUUUAAGAAGCUCGGAAUUCUUCUUUCAAGGGAAGAUCCAUUAAUUACGUAACGCGAAAAUUGAACAUUUUCAACCCCCCCUCCCCCCUAUGUCACACUUUUUGUAUGAAUCAUCUGAAUCAUCUGAAUCAUCUCUAGGCGUGACGUAAUUUGUGGAUGCUCCCCAAGGGGCUUGGAAGCGUACUUUCAAAAUGCUCAGGAGCCUCCUUUCAAGUGGCUCAAAAGCUGCUUUUAAAAAGGCUCUGAAGGCUCAAGAUGCUCGGGAGCAUUCAUUCAAGAUACUUAGAAGCUUACUCUCAAAACAAGCGAUGCCUACUUUCAAGAGGCACGGAAGGGUCCUUUCCAAAGGCUCGUAAGCUUCAUUCCAAGAGGCUUUUGAGUCUCCUUUCAAGAGGCUUGAAAACUUCCCUACGACGACUUUCAAGAGGCUCAGAAGCAUCGUUUUAAGAUGCUCAGAAUCCUCAUUUCAAGAGGAUUGGUAGCCUUUUUUCAAGAGGCUCGAAAGCUUCACUUCAAGAAGCACGAAAUUUUUCUUCCAAAAGACUUGGAAGCGUACUUUUAUAUGCUUGGAAGCCACCCUCAAAAGGCUCGAAAGGUGCCUUUCAAGAGGCACGAAAGCUUCCUUUCAAGCGGCUCGUAAGCUUUCCUUCAUGAGACACGAAAAUCUUCUUUCAAGAGCCUUGGAAGCGUACUUUUAAGGGGCUCAUAAUCCUGCUUGUAAGUGGCUCGAAAGCUGCUUUCAAGAGGCACUGCAGUCUCUCUUCAAGAGGAUCGGAAGCCUCCUAUGAAGAGCCUUUUGAAGUCCCUUUUAAAGAGCUCGAGAGCCGUCUUUCAAGAGACCCGGAAGCCUCCCUUCAACAGGCUUGGAAGCCUCCCUUCGAGAGGUUCGAAAGCCUCCUUUCAAGAUGCUCGGAAGCCUCUUUUCAAGAGGCUGGGAAGUUUCCGUUGGAGAGGUUCGGAAUUAUUCUUUAAAAAAAAGCUUGGAAGCAUCCUUUCAAAAAGCUCAGAAACCUCAUUUUAAGUGGCUCGAAAACCACCUUUCAAGAGGCUCAGAAGCCUUCUUAUAAUAGGCUUGAAAGCCUCCCUUCAAGAUGCUCGGAAGUUUCCAAUAGUCAAAAAAGCUUUGCAGGAAUCUUGAUGUAUACAUUUACCUUGAAUUUGUUUCAGUCAAUUUCAUGGAGAGUCAUAUAUCCAUUUAGUUUUCAGGUUCGUUUUUCAUAUAUCUUAUCUACGCCUUUUUCAUUUAUAGCUAAACAAAUUGGGGGUACCUCAAUUAAUGCAAAAGUUCGAAGGGGUACCUCUCAAGAAAAAGGUUGAGAACCGCUGUGGUAUGGUAUCGGAGCUGAGCUCAUCAAGAUGGGCCCGGAAAAGCUAGCCACUUGACUGCUCAAACUGCCGGAGGAGUGGAAGGAAGAGGUUAUAUACCUCAUCCUUAAGAAAGGCGACAAGCUGCAGUUUGAGAACUUUCAUGCGAUCACUAUUCUUAAUGCCGCCUACAAAGUGGUAUCCCAGAUCAUCUCAUCCCACCAUUAGUGAAUGAGUUCGUGGGAAGUUAUCAAGCCGGUUUCGUAGACGACCGCUCGACAACGGACCAGAUCUGUACUGUACGGCAAAUCCUUCAAAAAUGCCGUGAAAACCAGGUCCCAAUCAGGUUCAUUAAUUUCAAGGCGGCAUACUACAGUAUAGACCGCUUAGAGCUAUGGAAAAUUAUAGACGAGAACAGCUUCCCUGGGAAGCUUACCAGACUGAUCAAAGCAACAGUGGAUGGUGUGCAAAACUGUGUGAAGAUUUCGGGCGAACACUCCAGUUCUUUCGAAUCGCGCCGGAUACUAAGACAAGGUGAUGGACUGUCAUGCGGAGAGCCGGGUGUAACAGCCGGGGUACGAUUUUCAACAGAUCCAGUUCGCAGAUAACAUGGACAUUGUCGGCCGAACAUUUGCAAAGGUGGCCGCCUGCAACGUGAAGCAAUAAAAGUUGGACUGGUGUGGCGCAUCAUCUGUGGAAGUCGGGCCUACUACGGGCUCCAGAAGAAGCUGCGGUCAAAAAAGAUUCGCCACCGCACCAAACGGCACUUGGAGUAUUCGAGAGACGAGUGCUUAGGACCAUCUUUGGCGGUGAAGAAUGAACCACGAGCUCGCCCAGCUCUACGGCGAACCCAGUAUCCAGAAGGUAGCUAAAGCCGGAAGGGUACGAUGGGCAGGGCAUUUUGCAAGAAUGCCGGACAGCCACCCUGCAAAUAUGGUGUUCGCUUCCGAUCCGGCAGGUACAAUACGGCGUGGAGCGCAGCGAGCGAGGUGGGCAGACCAGGUGCAAAACGACUUGGCGAGUGGGGCAAUUAGUUAUUAGUUCCUGGUUAGAGUACUGUGCCAGACAUCUUCUCCUGGGGCAACCAGACGAGCAUGCGAUUCGGCUCGGGCUUGAAGGAGCAGCUGUCGUC
Molecule: long non-coding RNA, 3973 nt
Organism: Armigeres subalbatus
Lineage: Eukaryota; Metazoa; Arthropoda; Insecta; Diptera; Culicidae
Exons: 2
Source: RefSeq, a predicted model, not a curated record